GAUGAACGCUGGCGGCGUGCCUAAUACAUGCAAGUCGAGCGAACAGACGAGGAGCUUGCUCCUCUGACGUUAGCGGCGGACGGGUGAGUAACACGUGGAUAACCUACCUAUAAGACUGGGAUAACUUCGGGAAACCGGCGCUAAUACCGUAUAAUAUAUUGAACCGCAUGGUUCAAUAGUGAAAGACGGUUUUGCUGUCACUUAUAGAUGGAUCCGCGCCGCAUUAGCUAGUUGGUAAGGUAACGGCUUACCAAGGCAACGAUGCGUAGCCGACCUGAGAGGGUGAUAGGCCACACUGGAACUGAGACACGGUCAAGACGCCUACGGGAGGCAGCAGAAGGGAAUCGUCCGCAAUGGGCGAAAGCCUGACGGAGCAACGCGGCGUGAGUGAUGAAGAUCUUCGGAUCGUAAAACUCUGUUAUUAGGGAAGAACAAAUGUGUAAGUAACUAUGCACGUAUUGACGGUACCUAAUCAGAAAGCCACGGCUAACUACGUG
Molecule: ribosomal RNA, 497 nt
Filed under: uncultured bacterium
Lineage: Bacteria
Description: partial 16S ribosomal RNA
Rfam family: Bacterial small subunit ribosomal RNA
Source: RNAcentral